GUCUAUGGCCAUACCACUCUGAAUGUGCCCAAUCUUGUCUGAUCUCAGAAGCUAAGCAGGGUCAGGCCUGGUUAGUACUUGGAUGGGAGGAAUCUAGUCCUCUGCUGAAA
RNAcentral lists this ribosomal RNA (110 nucleotides) under Cebus imitator (Panamanian white-faced capuchin). The record is from RNAcentral. Lineage: Eukaryota; Metazoa; Chordata; Mammalia; Primates; Cebidae.